CCCGCACAAGCGGAGGACAUGUGGUUUAAUUCGAUGAUACGCGAGGAACCUUACCUGGGCUAGAACGCCGGACGCAUGAGGGAACCUUCCAGCCCGCAAGGGCGGCCGGCGAGGUGCUGCAUGGUUGUCGUCAGCUCGUGCCGUGAGGUGUCGGGUUAAGUCCCAUAACGAGCGCAACCCCUACCGUUAGUUGCCAGCGGGUCAUGCCGGGAACUCUAGCGGAACUGCCAGCGUAAGCUGUGAGGAAGGCGGGGAUGACGUCAAAUCAGCACGGCCCUUACGUCCAGGGCUACACACGUGUUACAAUGGCCGGUACAGAGGGCAGCCACCCCGCGAGGGGGCGCGAAUCCCGAAAGCCGGUCGCAGUUCGGAUCGGAGUCUGGAACCCGACUCCGUGAAGCUGGAUUCGCUAGUAAUCGCGCAUCAGCCAUGGCGCGGUGAAUACGUUCCCGGGCCUU
RNAcentral lists this ribosomal RNA (458 nucleotides) under uncultured Rikenellaceae bacterium. Its description in RNAcentral is "bacterial SSU rRNA". It matches the Rfam family "Bacterial small subunit ribosomal RNA", at positions 920 to 1382 of the family's 1533-position model. Lineage: Bacteria; Pseudomonadati; Bacteroidota; Bacteroidia; Bacteroidales; Rikenellaceae. The record is from RNAcentral.